This 254-nucleotide ribosomal RNA is filed under the name uncultured bacterium. RNAcentral's name for it is "partial 16S ribosomal RNA". It matches the Rfam family "Bacterial small subunit ribosomal RNA", at positions 524 to 777 of the family's 1533-position model. The record is from RNAcentral.
UACGGAGGGUGCGAGCGUUGUCCGGAAUCACUGGGCGUAAAGGGCGCGUAGGCGGCGCGGAUAGUCGGCGGUGAAAGCCCGGAGCUCAACUCCGGGUCGGCCGUCGAUACUUCCGGGCUUGGGCACUGUAGAGGCAGAUGGAAUUCCGGGUGUAGCGGUGGAAUGCGUAGAGAUCCGGAAGAACACCGGUGGCGAAGGCGGUCUGCUGGGCAGUUGCUGACGCUGAUGCGCGACAGCGUGGGGAGCAAACGAGG